This 24-nucleotide non-coding RNA is filed under the name Cricetulus griseus (Chinese hamster). The record is from RNAcentral. Lineage: Eukaryota; Metazoa; Chordata; Mammalia; Rodentia; Cricetidae.
UUCCAAGAUAUGAGUGAAUGCUAG